UCGUGUUGAUUAAAGAUGAAUUUGAUAGUUUCAUUAUGUUGGUUUUAUUUGUCUUAGUAGAAAUUGACAUCUAUUUCGAUAAUAAUUGAUGUCUGGAGGUUAUAUUGUUCAAUCGGGUAUUCGGGACACUUUUCGUGUCGGAGUACUAUUCACGAGUUACUAUUCAUGAGUUAUUAUUCAUGAGUUACUAUUCACGAGUUACUAUUCACGAGUUACUAUUCAUGAGUUACUAUUCACGAGUUACUAUUCAUGAGUUACUAUUCACCUUAUUACUAUUCACUCUAGUAUUGUUCACUCAGGUAUUUGGA
Molecule: long non-coding RNA, 308 nt
Filed under: Panax ginseng (ginseng)
Lineage: Eukaryota; Viridiplantae; Streptophyta; Magnoliopsida; Apiales; Araliaceae
Description: long non-coding RNA (PGIN_LNC009187)
Source: RNAcentral